This 781-nucleotide ribosomal RNA is filed under the name Rotylenchus iranicus. Its description in RNAcentral is "eukaryotic LSU rRNA". It matches the Rfam family "Eukaryotic large subunit ribosomal RNA", at positions 344 to 954 of the family's 3401-position model. The record is from RNAcentral. Lineage: Eukaryota; Metazoa; Nematoda; Chromadorea; Rhabditida; Hoplolaimidae.
ACAAGUACCCGUGAGGGAAAGUUGCAAAGCACUUUGAAGAGAGAGUUAAAGAGGACGUGAAACCGGUGAGGUGGAAACGGACAGAGCCGGCGUAUCUGGCCUGCAUUCAGCCGUGGGCCUUCUGGCGUCAGGGAUGCCGCUCUCCAGAUUGGGACGGUGGCCUGUCUGCUGGGAGGUGCAUGGUGCAUUUGCAGGCCGAGUGCGCGGAGGCGCUCGGUGCAGCGGCAUGAGCUCAGUGUUGAGGCCAGGCUCGCAAGAGUGCUGGUACCCGCGCUGGGGGAGUGCUGUUUGUGCUGGGUGUUUUGUGGUGAGCAAUGGUCCCGGGCCGGUGCGGGUGCCGAGCUGGCAGUGGGAGGCGGUCGCGUGCGACACGUGCCUGCGGUCAGUUCGGUCCUGCGCAGGCUCUCAUCUGCUCGUCCUCGGUGUAAAAGCCGGUCAUCUGUCCGACCCGUCUUGAAACACGGACCAAGGAGUUUAGCGUGUGCGCGAGUCAUUGGGCGUUGAAAACCCAGAGGCGCAAUGAAAGUGAAGGACUCCCUUGCGGAGCUGAUGUGUGAUCCUGGGCCCCRCGGGGCCCGGGCGCAACAUAGUCCCGUCCCGACCGCAUGCGGUGGGGCGGAGACAGAGCGUACGCGCUGAGACCCGAAAGAUGGUGAACUAUUCCUGAGCAGGAUGAAGCCAGAGGAAACUCUGGUGGAAGUCCGAAGCGAUUCUGACGUGCAAAUCGAUCGUCUGACUUGGGUAUAGGGGCGAAAGACUAAUCGAACCAUCUAGUAGCUGG